Molecule: ribosomal RNA, 430 nt
Filed under: bacterium
Lineage: Bacteria
Description: partial 16S ribosomal RNA
Rfam family: Bacterial small subunit ribosomal RNA
Source: RNAcentral
UGGGGAAUAUUGGACAAUGGGGGCAACCCUGAUCCAGCCAUGCCGCGUGUGUGAAGAAGGCCUUUUGGUUGUAAAGCACUUUAAGCAGGGAGGAGAGGCUAAUGGUUAAUACCCAUUAGAUUAGACGUUACCUGCAGAAUAAGCACCGGCUAACUCUGUGCCAGCAGCCGCGGUAAUACAGAGGGUGCGAGCGUUAAUCGGAAUUACUGGGCGUAAAGCGAGUGUAGGUGGCUCAUUAAGUCACAUGUGAAAUCCCCGGGCUUAACCUGGGAACUGCAUGUGAUACUGGUGGUGCUAGAAUAUGUGAGAGGGAAGUAGAAUUCCAGGUGUAGCGGAGAAAUGCGUAGAGAUCUGGAGGAAUACCGAUGGCGAAGGCAGCUUCCUGGCAUAAUAUUGACACUGAGAUUCGAAAGCGUGGGUAGCAAACAGG